This 468-nucleotide ribosomal RNA is filed under the name uncultured bacterium. Its description in RNAcentral is "partial 16S ribosomal RNA". It matches the Rfam family "Bacterial small subunit ribosomal RNA", at positions 28 to 507 of the family's 1533-position model. The record is from RNAcentral.
GACGAACGCUGGCGGCGUGCUUAACACAUGCAAGUCGAACGGAAAGGCCCUGCUUUUGUGGGGUGCUCGAGUGGCGAACGGGUGAGUAACACGUGAGUAACCUGCCCUUGACUUUGGGAUAACUUCAGGAAACUGGGGCUAAUACCGGAUAGGAGCUCCUGCUGCAUGGUGGGGGUUGGAAAGUUUCGGCGGUUGGGGAUGGACUCGCGGCUUAUCAGCUUGUUGGUGGGGGAGUGGCUUACCAAGGCUUUGACGGGUAGCCGGCCUGGGAGGGUGACCGGCGACAAGGGGACUGAGGGAGGGACCAGACGCCAACGGGAGGCAGCAGUGGGGAAUAUUGUACAAUGGGGGGGAGCCUGAGACAGCAACGCCGCGUUCGUGAUGACGGCCUUCGGGUUGUAAACCGCUGUAACCUGAGACGAAGCGGGAUUGACGGUAAUGGGUAAAGAAGCACCGGCUAACUACGUG